AAACAUAGAAAACUAAAAUUAAUAAAAUUAGCCUAAGUCCCUCUGCAUCAAGCUCUAGUAAGUGCUGUGAGACAAAAAAAUGGCAGCUGACACUCACUAAUGUCCCCAUUCUGUGUUCCUGGAGCCCAGGGAAGGCACCUUGGUUGGUAUCCAAACGCUUAGUCACAAAGGGAUGUGGUAGUGAGGAACACUGAUGUCUAUGGUUAUGAUCUGUUGUUUUCAAGCUUAGAUA
Molecule: small nucleolar RNA, 232 nt
Filed under: Tupaia belangeri (northern tree shrew)
Lineage: Eukaryota; Metazoa; Chordata; Mammalia; Scandentia; Tupaiidae
Description: Small Cajal body specific RNA 6 (ENSTBEG00000020711.1)
Source: RNAcentral